UCUUACUUAUUUUGUUUCACUUAAUUAAAACUGUCACAUCAACAUUUGAUGAUAUCUUUACAUCAUCACCAUCAUUUACGGAAGCGAUUAGCAUGAAAUUUAUUUUUGAGUAAGUUGAUCAAUUGAUCAAUGAAGUGUUGACACGCAGACGAGGUUAUAUGUAUAUCAGUAUUUUAUUGAUCAAUUAACCAACUUAUCAAAAAAUAAACUUCACGCUAACCAUCAUCUACGGUCAUCUUUCACUUUACUAACCGCCGAUCAAAAACACACUUUGAGGUUGCUAGCCACAAACCCCUUCUGUAAUCGACAAAAAAAGAAGAAUAUGGUGGUGAAAUCUCGUUUCAAGGGUAGCUUUGUAGUCUAUUAAUUUGGUUUACUAGCAAUUUUUCUUCUCUUUCCUCUUCAACUUGGAGUCGAUGGCGCUGCUUGUCGUCGAUACUCGUUGGCGGUGGUCCGACUAACUCGUCGAUGGAUUUGGGCUUGUAGACUACCUUGUAAAUUGGUGUUGGUUUGAGAUCGAUGCACGCUCUAAUCCUUUAAAAAUGUAUUCUCUGUCAUGCGUGUAUACAAGAUGAUCCGGCUAGGAGUGGUGGUGGGCUGUGAAAUCUGAAAUAGACUUUGUGAAAAGAAAUGUAAUUUGAUUUUAACGUUUUUGUCC
This 658-nucleotide long non-coding RNA is filed under the name Panax ginseng (ginseng). Its description in RNAcentral is "long non-coding RNA (PGIN_LNC015795)". The stretch from base 93 to 214 matches the Rfam family "MIR6135 microRNA precursor family". Lineage: Eukaryota; Viridiplantae; Streptophyta; Magnoliopsida; Apiales; Araliaceae. The record is from RNAcentral.